This 272-nucleotide ribosomal RNA is filed under the name uncultured bacterium. RNAcentral describes it as "partial 16S ribosomal RNA". It matches the Rfam family "Bacterial small subunit ribosomal RNA", at positions 85 to 354 of the family's 1533-position model. The record is from RNAcentral.
CCGCCGGCGACCGGCGCACGGGUGAGUAACACGUAUGCAACCUGGCCGUGACAGAUGGAUAACCGGGAGAAAUCCCGCCUAAUACAACAUAAUGCCGGGAGGGGACAUCCCCUGCCGGCCAAAGGGGCGACCCCGGUCACGGAUGGGCAUGCGGCGCAUUAGGUAGUUGGUGGGGCAACGGCCCACCAAGCCGACGACGCGUAGGGGUUCUGAGAGGAAGGUCCCCCACACUGGUACUGAGACACGGACCAGACUCCUACGGGAGGCAGCAG